Long non-coding RNA from Eleginops maclovinus (Patagonian blennie), 1601 nucleotides. RefSeq lists it as uncharacterized. Lineage: Eukaryota; Metazoa; Chordata; Actinopteri; Perciformes; Eleginopidae. The record is from RefSeq and is a predicted model, not a curated record. The transcript is spliced from 3 exons.
UUUGUCUCUGAAGAAAGUGGAAUAUAUGACACUGCCUUCAGUUUCAUCAUACUUAUUAUGUCCUCGUACAUAAAAAGAAGGUUUCAGCUAGAGCUCUGUGCUGAAACCACAGUGAGUCUGACCCCAGCGUCAGAAAUACUCUGCACAGGAAGAGGAAGUUCUCACUCACAUCAUCUCUAUGUGUCUCACAGUGUGACGCUCAGACAGCAGGAAGACAUCAUGGAGGUCACAGCGCUCUGCAGCACACUGUAAUCAGGAUUUAAAAACCCAUGCUCAGCAGAGGAGCCUCUCUACGCCCCCGCGCUGAAGGACUCGUCCAGAGAUGCUCCGUAUAACUGUUCAGAAAAGAUUUCCAGUUCAACUCAGAUCAAAGUUCAAUGUCCUGUAUAACAUAUACAACCCAAAUAUUCCCAGAGCUGGAAGUACAUUUUAUAUUGAUGUUGUAUGUUCUUCUGUUAACUCUGCUCUGAUUAUUUGGUUUCAUAUCACUUUUCAUGUCUGUGUAAAUCUCAAAGAACAAUAACUGUGUGUCAUUGGUUUGCUUUUACUAAAUGAAGUUUAACUUGAAAGUGUUUUCUUGUUUACCACAAGUUCUCCAACUAUUCCAUCCCACACAACUGUUGAGCUUUGUGAGGGUUUUCACUUUCCUGACUUUAUGGCAUGUAAAUGUUCUAUAGAGGCUGAGAUCGAUCCCUCCACACAUUAACAGUGUGAGGCGAACCAGGGUCACGUGACUGCACUCUGAGGAGUUCAACAGGACUCUGAGAGUUUGGGGACAUCUGGUGGACAGAGGGAGGGAAAUAAUGCAGGUUUAUUGUGUCAUAUAUUUUAAUGAAAUGACUUCACACAUCAGAUCCUCUGUGACCUCAGGACUCAGUUGACAAACACUGCAGGUAAUAAGUAACUCUUGAUGAAAAUGGCUGAAUUUUAAAAGUUCUUGCUAUGAUUAUAAAUGGAAAAGCUUUGUCACAGUGCCACCAUUUAGUUUCUCUUUCAGGAUGAAAAGAAAAUCCUUACAGGGACUCAGAGCAGACCCAGUGUAACAGCCAUUUAAUGAGAGGUCUGUUUGGGUUUCCAGCUGUCACUGUUGUUAUUCACAGUGUGCGCCAUGAGGUGUCGCUGUCGGAUUACCUAUUACCUAUUAAGGUUGGUUUUGUCACCUGAUCAGUUGUGUGUGACCCCAGGAGGGCGAAUGGUUUUUAACCAAAGUAGUGCAAGUGUGAACCCAAAAUAAUGAUCAUUGAAUGGACUUCACCACGCACAAAAACAGUCUGAUAACGAGCCUACUGAUACGUGUUUGAACACAACAGCACAAACGGUAUCUACAAACACAGUAAAGCGUGUCAGCCAAGUCCUCCCCGGGAGUCAAACCACCACAUACGAAGCUUUGGGCUGAAGCUCCUACACCCAGCGUAGGGUCUCUUUAAUCAAUGCAGAUGCUGUUGAAGAUGGAAGCCUUUAUUGUCAUUAUCAAAAACAAUGAAGAAACUAGUGCCUGUUCCAAAAAGGGACACGCAAUAACAGACUGAGACACAGUUAAAGCGCUUUGCUGAACAAAUAAGGCAGGUCAAAUAAGAACCUGGUGGCUGUGUGAAAGAAGA